AGUAACGCGUGAGGAACCUGCCUUUCGGAGGGGGACAACAGUUGGAAACGACUGCUAAUACCGCAUAACGCAUGGGUAUCGCAUGGUAUCUGUGCCAAAGAUUUAUCGCUGAGAGAUGGCCUCGCGUCUGAUUAGCUAGUUGGUGAGGUAACGGCCCACCAAGGCGACGAUCAGUAGCCGGACUGAGAGGUUGGCCGGCCACAUUGGGACUGAGAUACGGCCCAGACUCCUACGGGAGGCAGCAG
RNAcentral lists this ribosomal RNA (245 nucleotides) under uncultured bacterium. RNAcentral's name for it is "partial 16S ribosomal RNA". It matches the Rfam family "Bacterial small subunit ribosomal RNA", at positions 109 to 354 of the family's 1533-position model. The record is from RNAcentral.